UGGAGCAGCAGCCUGCUGUCCCAGCAUGUCCCUGAGGCACAGAGCGUCCAGCCCCAGCAGAGGACACCGGGGAGGAGGCCAGGACGUGCGGAGCUCCCGGGCUGGCCAGAGGCACCCUGUGAAAGUUCCAGGUAAAUGGGAGAUUUGGAGACUAGCUUAAUCCAUACACGAAAAGCAUGUAGAAUAGAGCAAAUGGUAGCAAAAUGGCUUCAUCGCUCUCGGGACAGCCUGCCCAGGUGAGUGGGGUCUGUGGAGGGAGCACCUUGGGGCAGAGGCCGCCCCUGGGGCUGGCGCGGCCUGCGCGGCCUGCGCGGCCUGCUCGCUGUGUCUGUCCUUGGGAAAUGCGCUCACAGAAACACAACAGCAGCAGCAGUUUGUGAGCAACCCCCCUGGCUGCCAGGGGCUGCCGUUCCUGCCGUGCUCUGCUGGGGUUUUGUGAGGAGGAAAUGCAGCAUUGCUCCACUGGAACUGGCUCUUCCUGAAGGGGCAGCGUGGCAGCGAUGGACAGCGCUGGGGACAGUGCAGGGCAGCCCCCAAGCCGGGCCAAGGUGACGGUGACCGUGUACAAGGACCUGGUGCUGCAGCAUUACGGCUUCGAGAUCUGCCCCGGGCUGCCACUGACCAUCGCCUCCGUCAC
Molecule: non-coding RNA, 637 nt
Organism: Zonotrichia albicollis (white-throated sparrow)
Lineage: Eukaryota; Metazoa; Chordata; Aves; Passeriformes; Passerellidae
Source: RefSeq, a predicted model, not a curated record